UGGUGGGGUAAGAGCCUACCAAGGCGACGACGGUUAGCCAGCGUGAGAGCGUGGCCGGCCACAAGGACACUGAGAUACGGGUCCUACUCCUACGGGAGGCAGCAGUGCGGAAUUUUAGAUAAUGGAGGCAACUCUGAUCUAGCGACGCCGCGUGCAGGAAGAAGGUCUUCGGAUUGUAAACUGCUGUGGUAAGGGAAAAAUGUCAUGUAGAGUGGAAAGCUACAUGGAGGGAUGGUACCUUACUAGAAAGCCCCGGCUAACUACGUGCCAGCAGCCGCGGUAAUACGUAGGGGGCGAGCGUUACCCGGAAUCACUGGGCGUAAAGGGAGCGUAGGUGGCCUGACAUGUCAACUGUGAAAACCCGGAGCUCAACUCCGGACUUGCAGUUGAAACUGCCAGGCUUGAGGACGGUAGAGGAAGACGGAACUGCCAGUGUAGGGGUAAAAUCCUUAGAUAUUGGCAGGAACGCCGGUGACGAAGGUGGUUUUCUGGGCCGGUUCUGACACUGAUGCUCGAAAGCCAGGGGAGCGAACGGGAUUAGAU
RNAcentral lists this ribosomal RNA (543 nucleotides) under uncultured microorganism. Its description in RNAcentral is "bacterial SSU rRNA". It matches the Rfam family "Bacterial small subunit ribosomal RNA", at positions 250 to 783 of the family's 1533-position model. The record is from RNAcentral.